This 580-nucleotide ribosomal RNA is filed under the name uncultured Lachnospiraceae bacterium. RNAcentral describes it as "bacterial SSU rRNA". It matches the Rfam family "Bacterial small subunit ribosomal RNA", at positions 96 to 696 of the family's 1533-position model. Lineage: Bacteria; Bacillati; Bacillota; Clostridia; Lachnospirales; Lachnospiraceae. The record is from RNAcentral.
UGGCGGACGGGUGAUAACGCGUGGGUAACCUGCCUUAUACAGGGGAUAACAGUCAGAAAUGACUGCUAAUACCGCAUAAGCGCACAGAGCUGCAUGGCUCAGUGUGAAAAACUCCGGUGGUAUAAGAUGGACCCGCGUUGGAUUAGCUAGUUGGUGAGGUAACGGCCCACCAAGGCGACGAUCCAUAGCCGGCCUGAGAGGGUGAACGGCCACAUUGGGACUGAGACACGGCCCAGACUCCUACGGGAGGCAGCAGUGGGGAAUAUUGCACAAUGGGGGAAACCCUGAUGCAGCGACGCCGCGUGAAGGAAGAAGUAUCUCGGUAUGUAAACUUCUAUCAGCAGGGAAGAAAAUGACGGUACCUGACUAAGAAGCCCCGGCUAACUACGUGCCAACAGCCGCGGUAAUACGUAGGGGGCAAGCGUUAUCCGGAUUUACUGGGUGUAAAGGGAGCGUAGACGGAUGGACAAGUCUGAUGUGAAAGGCUGGGGCUCAACCCCGGGACUGCAUUGGAAACUGCCCAUCUUGAGUGCCGGAGAGGUAAGCGGAAUUCCUAGUGUAGCGGUGAAAUGCGUAGAUA